CGCGCCUCCGACACCCUGUAACAGACCACCUGAUGCAGGCAGCUGAUUUGCAUUAUGGGUUGAGCCCAAAGGAGGUCCGGAAGUUUGCCUAUGAUUUGGCAAAGACCUACAAUUGCAGGUGCCCCGAAACCAGGGCAGAGAACGGGAUGGCUGGAGCCAACUGGUUCACAACAUUUUUGAAGUGGCACCCCACUCUGCCCACAAGAAGCCCCCAGGCUACAAGCCUCUAACGGACAACGAGUUUCAAUGAGACAUACGUCAGUAAGUUUUUUGACAACUUGUUUUCUGUACUGGAGAAACACAGAAUUGCUGCACAGGACAUCUGGAACAUGGAUGAAACAGGUGUGGUGGAAAUUAUCUAUAACUCCCUCAGAAACACCCUCCAGAGGCUCACACCCUUACAAAAAUAAAAGCAUUACAGAAUAAAAGCACUAAAUAAAAUAAUCUUUUUCUAUACAGGAGUCACCACAGUGCAAAAUCCUGAGAAAAUUGUGGCCAGAAAGGGAGUGAAGCAAGUAGAUGCAGUCACCUCUGCAGAACGGGGGACAUAUAUUACACUUGCCUGUGCAGUGAAUGCCUUAGGGAAUUCCAUCCCACCAAUGUUCAUCUUCCCCUGGAAAAAAAAAUCCAUCAUUCUUUUACCAGCAAUGGUCCUAAUGGCUGUAUUGUUACCACAAAUGGGUCUGGGUUGAUGCGAGUGGAGGACUUUUUGGUCUUCCUCAAGCACUUCCAGACUGAUCGAGUCUUUUACCUCAACAGAUUUUAAAUGUCAACACACCUAGAUCAUUGAUACUUAAAAAGAAAAACUUGAAGCCAGUAACACCCUGUGUGUUAAGUCAACAACAGCUUGUACCUCGACCUCUGAGGAGAUGACCCAUGGUGCUGAAGUCAAGAUCCACUCCUGAUUUGUUUGCCUCUUUAUCUGAACAGAUCAGUUCCUGCUCAUACUUGGUCUACGAGCAGCUGUGGUGAUUCUUAUAUUUAGUGGGAUCACCGUCUAUUUUGCUUGUAAGAAGAAGAAAUACAAGAAAGCUGAAGGCUCUGCCGUCCCUAAAGAGACGGACUAUGAGAACUGUGUUGUGAUGGUUGAAAUGAGAAGUUCUGCAUCUGAACUUUAAAUUUCUGAACCAACACCUCAGUGUCGCCUCUCAGCUUCUGUGAUUGGACACGAGUCUUCAUGGAUGUAAAAAUAGAUUAAAAAUAGUCAAAAUUAUAAACUCUUCUUAUUACUCUCAAAUUUACUUCUUAGGAGCUCACAAACACCCUGCCAUAAUAAGCCUCUGAAUGUUUUCUUCAUUUGUGUCACUGUGGAAGCUCUGAUUGAACAAAGGUUAUGCGCUGUGACACAAGUUCUAUGAUCACAAAUGGAGGUGUCUGACUUUUCUGUUUCAUAUAUGUUUGAUAGUUUCUUAGAAGAGAGAAGAUAAAAUGUUUUGAUUUUUUGGUGUGUCUAUUCUAAAAAUGUUGAGUUGUCAUUUAAAAGACCAAAUUGUCAUUUUAUGAGCAUAUUCACACAAAUGUGAAGUGUUUGAGUAUGAAAAUAUUUAAUUAUUUGAAUAAUGUUUUUUUGUAAAUUGUUUUAAUCAAGUUUUAAUUUUAUUGCUUUAUUGUUCUGUAUUCAAAACCUGUCAGUCAGUCAUGUGACAUCAGUCAGUUCAUGAAAGCUUCCUGUAUGUUGACAUUCUGAUCAUGAACUGUUCCUUUAAUGACAGCUGACACCAGGUUCAUCAUCAGUAUCAGGUGUGAGGUUUCCAUCUACUGGUUCACAGAGGUUACUGCUGUUGCUUUUGUUGACUGAACAAGUGCAGCAUCUACACACAUUACAGGGUGGCUGGCAUGCACCUUUAAUAUUGUGAGCAGCCAAUAAACACAGAGAGGAAGAACAAACACACUGUUGUCGUGCUCAUAACACCACUGCUGCACCUGUGUAGAGCCACGCAAUGUAGACAGGAGCCAGACAUGUUGUCACUGGUGUGGAUUUCUUUUUACAAGAAGACCAUAACACGAGGAAAAAAAAGUCUUAUCACAGCUAUGGAAUAUCAAAUAAACCAUUAA
Molecule: long non-coding RNA, 2055 nt
Organism: Acanthopagrus latus (yellowfin seabream)
Lineage: Eukaryota; Metazoa; Chordata; Actinopteri; Spariformes; Sparidae
Exons: 3
Source: RefSeq, a predicted model, not a curated record